This 252-nucleotide ribosomal RNA is filed under the name Paenibacillus sacheonensis. RNAcentral describes it as "partial 16S ribosomal RNA". It matches the Rfam family "Bacterial small subunit ribosomal RNA", at positions 524 to 776 of the family's 1533-position model. RNAcentral also lists the same sequence under 1 other name. The record is from RNAcentral. Lineage: Bacteria; Bacillati; Bacillota; Bacilli; Caryophanales; Paenibacillaceae.
UACGUAGGGGGCAAGCGUUGUCCGGAAUUAUUGGGCGUAAAGCGCGCGCAGGCGGCUUUGUAAGUUUGGUGUUUAAGCUCAGAGCUCAACUCUGAUUCGCAUCGAAAACUGCAAGGCUUGAGUACAGAAGAGGAAAGUGGAAUUCCACGUGUAGCGGUGAAAUGCGUAGAGAUGUGGAGGAACACCAGUGGCGAAGGCGACUUUCUGGGCUGUAACUGACGCUGAGGCGCGAAAGCGUGGGGAGCAAACAGG